ACAGUCGCCGCGUGGUAACACGGGGAGGAAAGUCCGGGCUACAUAGAGCAAAAUGCCAGUUAACGGCUGGGCAUGGUAACAUGACGGAAAGUGGCGCAGAAAGCAAAACCGCCAACGGCUGAAAUUCAGUGCGGGCAAGGGUGAAAAGGUGUGGUAAGAGCGCACCGCGUUUUUGGUAACAAUAAACGGCAGGCAAAACCCCAUUUGUAGCAAGACCAAACAGAACACAGAGACGUGGCUCGCCGAGUGUUCGGGUAGGUUGCUGGAACUUAUUGGUAACAAUAAGUCUAGAUGAAUGACUGUUCACGACAGAACCCGGCUUAUCGUUUUACCU
Molecule: RNase P RNA, 334 nt
Filed under: uncultured Kingella sp.
Lineage: Bacteria; Pseudomonadati; Pseudomonadota; Betaproteobacteria; Neisseriales; Neisseriaceae
Description: Bacterial RNase P class A
Rfam family: Bacterial RNase P class A
About the family: Ribonuclease P (RNase P) is a ubiquitous endoribonuclease, found in archaea, bacteria and eukarya as well as chloroplasts and mitochondria. Its best characterised activity is the generation of mature 5'-ends of tRNAs by cleaving the 5'-leader elements of precursor-tRNAs. Cellular RNase Ps are ribonucleoproteins.
Source: RNAcentral